GACAGAGGGUGCAAACGUUGUUCGGAAUUACUGGGCGUAAAGCGCGUGUAGGCUGUUUUGCAAGUCGGAUGUGAAAGCCCUGGGCUCAACCUAGGAAGUGCACUCGAAACUGCAGAACUGGAGCCUGGAGAGGAAGGCGGAAUUCUCGGUGUAGAGGUGAAAUUCGUAGAUAUCGAGAGGAACACCGGUGGCGAAGGCGGCCUUCUGGACAGUGACUGACGCUGAGACGCGAA
Molecule: ribosomal RNA, 233 nt
Filed under: uncultured bacterium
Lineage: Bacteria
Description: partial 16S ribosomal RNA
Rfam family: Bacterial small subunit ribosomal RNA
Source: RNAcentral